AACGAACGCUGGCGGCAUGCCUAACACAUGCAAGUCGAACGAGGCCUUCGGUUCUAGUGGCGCACGGGUGCGUAACGCGUGGGAACCUGCCCUUAGCUUCGGAAUAACUCCCCGAAAGGGGUGCUAAUACCGGAUAAUGUCUUCGGGCCAAAGAUUUAUCGCCUUUGGAUGGGCCCGCGUUGGAUUAGCUAGUUGGUAGGGUAAAAGCCUACCAAGGCGACGAUCCAUAGCUGGUCUGAGAGGAUGAUCAGCCACACUGGGACUGAGACACGGCCCAGACUCCUACGGGAGGCAGCAGUGGGGAAUAUUGGACAAUGGGCGAAAGCCUGAUCCAGCCAUGCCGCGUGAGUGAUGAAGGCCUUAGGGUUGUAAAGCUCUUUUACCCGGGAUGAUAAUGACAGUACCGGGAGAAUAAGCUCCGGCUAACUCCGUG
This 433-nucleotide ribosomal RNA is filed under the name uncultured bacterium. RNAcentral describes it as "partial 16S ribosomal RNA". It matches the Rfam family "Bacterial small subunit ribosomal RNA", at positions 29 to 507 of the family's 1533-position model. The record is from RNAcentral.